CACUAAAAAGCUAAAAUAGGUCAAAGCGUUAGCCUUUUAAGCUAAAGAUUGGUGGCUCCUAAUCACCUUUAGUGA
RNAcentral lists this transfer RNA (75 nucleotides) under Callionymus curvicornis. Its description in RNAcentral is "Repomucenus curvicornis tRNA-Lys". It matches the Rfam family "tRNA". From Rfam's summary of the family: Transfer RNA (tRNA) molecules are approximately 80 nucleotides in length. Their secondary structure includes four short double-helical elements and three loops (D, anti-codon, and T loops). Further hydrogen bonds mediate the characteristic L-shaped molecular structure. tRNAs have two regions of fundamental functional importance: the anti-codon, which is responsible for specific mRNA codon recognition, and the 3' end, to which the tRNAs corresponding amino acid is attached (by aminoacyl-tRNA synthetases). tRNAs cope with the degeneracy of the genetic code in two manners: having more than one tRNA (with a specific anti-codon) for a particular amino acid; and 'wobble' base-pairing, i.e. permitting non-standard base-pairing at the 3rd anti-codon position. Lineage: Eukaryota; Metazoa; Chordata; Actinopteri; Syngnathiformes; Callionymidae. The record is from RNAcentral.